Molecule: long non-coding RNA, 648 nt
Filed under: Physcomitrium patens
Lineage: Eukaryota; Viridiplantae; Streptophyta; Bryopsida; Funariales; Funariaceae
Description: long non-coding RNA (PPAT_LNC007769)
Source: RNAcentral
UGAUUUCUAAAAAGUGUAUAAAGUUUGGAAGCAAAGUAAUGGUUCAAUCAGGAGUAAUUAGCUUUGGAAGAUUGGCAUCAAGGUUGAAGACGGAGGAUAGCUGACAUCUAAGUACAUUUUUGAGGUUAUCAUCUAUUUGGUAAUUUUUAUCUUUUUUAAUUUUUUUGUGCUUGUUAUAAACUUAAUUGUUAAGAUGUAUGAAGAAUUUGAGUUAAAAUCAAUGGUUCAUUUAUUAAUUAUUGAGAUUUAAAUCUAUUAUAGGAAUUAUUUGAGAUUGAUUCGAUUUAGGAUUAGAGUCAGGAUUUUGGAUUGAUUUAAGGUUUGGUUUAGGUUAGGAUUUGGUUAGGAUUUGUCUAGGAUUUGACUGGAACUUUUUUAGGAUUUGGUUAGGGCUUAUUUAGGAUUUUUUUAGAAUUUGACUAAGAUUUAUUUAAGAUUUGGUUAGGAUUUGUUUAGAAUGAGAUUAGGAUUUGAUUAGGAUUUGUCUAGGAUUUGAUUAGGUCUUAUUUAGAAAUUGAUUAGGAUUUGAUAAGGAUUUGACUAAGGUUUGAUUAAGGUUUGAUUAAGAUUUGAUUAGAUUUUGAUUAGGAUUUAAUUAAGAUUCUUAUUUUAAUAUUUUAUUAAGAUUUUUAUUUUAAUAUAUAUAUA